RNAcentral lists this ribosomal RNA (255 nucleotides) under uncultured bacterium. RNAcentral describes it as "partial 16S ribosomal RNA". It matches the Rfam family "Bacterial small subunit ribosomal RNA", at positions 524 to 777 of the family's 1533-position model. The record is from RNAcentral.
GACAGAGGAUGCAAGCGUUAUCCGGAAUGAUUGGGCGUAAAGCGUCUGUAGGUGGCUUUUUAAGUCCGCCGUCAAAUCCCAGGGCUCAACCCUGGACAGGCGGUGGAAACUACCAAGCUGGAGUACGGUAGGGGCAGAGGGAAUUUCCGGUGGAGCGGUGAAAUGCGUAGAGAUUGGAAAAGGACACCAAUGGCGAAAGCACUUUACUGGGCUAUCACUGACACUGAGAGACGAAAGCUAGGGUAGCAAAAUGGG